GAGGGGGACACCCGGAGCCGUGCUGGAGCAGUGGUGAAGUUCUGGAUGCUGCCCUCUGAGACUUGGAAUGAUCACCUGAGCACCUUUUCCCCUUUGUAAAGGAAUCACGUCCACCCUUCUGUCUUAGAAGGUAAGAAAGCCCGUGUUUCUUAGAGAGAAAAAAACCCCAACCGCUAGUGUUUCUACUUAAAACGAUCCAUCCUUCCCCUUUAAGAGCUGACCCGAAUCUUUCUGGCACAGGACUAUGGGCGUGCAAUCUUUUUGGUAUGAUUCAUUGAGAUGCAAAAUAGCUCUUGGUUCUGCCUUCCUGGACAGGUACUUGAGUUAAAAGAGAUUGCAAUGAAGAUAAGGACUUUUUAAGCAUGGGCCAGAGUGCAUCAAAUUUUGCAGUCUGGACGGGCCCUUGUGGGUUGGAGAUGUCGGAGGCGGUGGCGGCUCCUUUUGUCUCUAGAAAGCAACAGAAAUGGGUCUCCUUGGUAGGACAAGGCAGAAGCUGAGAAAGAAAGAAGGGACAUCAGCCGUCCUCAGAAUAGGAAUUUAAGGUCAGAGAAAAGACAGCACAGGUAGCCAGCCAUCUAGGAAACCCUCCCCCAUGCAACGGCAUGCAUCUUCUCGAGAACAAGCUGACAGUCACUUCCAACAGGACUUGGGGAUGCUCCCAGAGGCCAAGGUGGUGCUGAUUUGGUGAGCCUUCCUUCACCAGCUGUUGUUGCUUCCCAGAUCGGAUGGAAGAGCCGCCUAUCCCGCAUCCCCAGAGAUGGGGUCCCUUGGCCAAGGACCACUGCGACCACCUCCUGGAUUCCAUUGAUGCACAUCUCAGCCGGCUGCAAGCUCAGGAACCCGAUGUGGAAACAGAAGGGACCGGCGGGCAGGCAGCCUCCCGCUCCUUCCUCAGUGGAACCACGUGCACAUCUGGUGCCGCAGAUCCGAGCAAAUCCUCUGGGAACAAAGAUCGAGAUGCUUCUCUGGACGAGAGCCCAUCAUCUUGGAAGGAGGAAGGUCCUCAGUGGCCAGUGCCUCCUCUCCUUGCCCCAGAAGGCACCCCAAGAGAUGAGAGGGCCUCAGACUCAAUAUGCACUGAAGAUUUUGCUGCUGCUUUUUAUGAAUGCCUGGUGGAUCCUCUCCUGAGUUCCAGCGAUGAAAAAGAGGGAAGUGAGUUUGAUCUCGCAGUCACAUCGCUAGAGCCCGUUUCCAGGAGCUGGGCUGAAAAUCCUGACCCUUCUCAGCUCUACGAGGGCAUGCAAGCUGUGCUAGAUCCUCAUUUCAUGGGUGCAGCGAGAAAGCAGGGUGUUGUCCGGUCUCCUAAGGAAGCCUCGAAAGGGGAAGAGGGCCAAGUUUCUCCAACUCUUUAUCCAGAAGCGCCUCUGUUCCUGGGCCAUCAACCCAAAACGCACAGCCUGGAGCCUUCAGGAGCAAAGAUCUCCCCACUUGGCAGGACAUUCUCUGAGGAGACCUCUAGGGCUACGGAUGUUCUUGGAGAUGUCCCCCUGGGGGAAAGGAGUCUUCGACACCAGCCUCUGAAGUUGGGAGAGAAGCCGGUGGACUUCACGUUGAUCUCCAGGAAGAGGGGGUUCGGAUGUGAAGGCUUGAAGGGCUCCUUGGAAUGGAUUCCAGACCCCCUUGAAAAUCCAGGCCGCCCAUUGUUGGUGGAAGAUCUGAGCCCUUUCCAGGGGCUCCAAACUGUGGACGGAGCAGGUGCCGAAACCACGCUGUUUGGGGGUGACGUCCCAGCAAGGACACUGGGAUAUGGACACCCAGAGAAGAGGGAAUUGAACGACCCAACGGGCUUGUCGGAUGUUACCUGUCUUCGUGCCCUGCCUGGUCAAAGCGGUUUGGUGUCUCCCGGGGGGGAAGACGAGGGCGUGAUUGCCAGCCCUCGGUGGUUUUCUCCUGUGACGGGCUGUGAGAUGCAGAGGGCGUCCUCCUCCCAGCUUAAGUUGAACUGGGGUGCCAGAGCUGACCGCAAGGCUUCCCAGAAGAGCCAGGGCUUGCCCAGCGAUGGCUGGAUGGGAGCCAGGACAUCCGGAGAUCCUGUCUGCAGAGGGAGGAAAGAGGAUGCUCCGGAAUGGAUGGAAAAUGGCCGCUCAGGGUCCGGGCACUGUGAGCUUCCUUACCUGACGGAGCGAGGCCAGAUGGAGAACUUCAGAGGCAAACAUGGGGCAGGUGGGUGGAAGCUGUUAACAGAAGCUUUAGCAAGGAAACUGGUUGGAUGGGGAAGUGUUAUGGGAUGGAGGGGGUGACGCCCGGCGGGUGGAAGCCAUGAGGGUGAGGUGGGGUAAACGUUCGUUGUUGGAGGAGGACCUGCGAGGGAAAGAGAACGGUCCGGAGGCAAUGCACUGUGACGUGACUUCAAAUACGCUUUGUGGGAAGUGGACACGGAAGUCCAGAUUUCAGCCAAAGUCAAGAGUUUCCCA
Molecule: long non-coding RNA, 2414 nt
Filed under: Pogona vitticeps (central bearded dragon)
Lineage: Eukaryota; Metazoa; Chordata; Lepidosauria; Squamata; Agamidae
Description: lncRNA (ENSPVIG00000020996.1)
Source: RNAcentral